RNAcentral lists this non-coding RNA (762 nucleotides) under Prosthiostomum siphunculus. Lineage: Eukaryota; Metazoa; Platyhelminthes; Polycladida; Prosthiostomidae. The record is from RNAcentral.
UAUCUAUUUGGUUUUGGUAGAAUAAAGAAUUAUUAAUUUAACCAGCAGUAGAAAUGUUACAAAUUAGACUUAGAAUUAAUUUAAUCUAAGAAACGUUAGUGGUGAAUAUUUAUUUAUAAGUGAAAGCUUGAAUAGGAUAUUAAUAAAAAAGGGGCGGAUACUUGUGCCAGCAGCUGCGGUUAUACCUGAUCUUAUCUUUAUGCUAGGUAUAUGAAAAGAAUAAUAAUGAAUAAAAAAAUCAAUAUGUGGUUAAAUAAGUUGAUGUCUAAAACAAAUUCUUUAUAAUCUCUUUCUAAAACUGGUUUAAAAACCGAGAUUAGAUACCUCGUUAUUCCAGAAGUAAAUAUAGAAUCCAUAGUAGUAGAAUCGAAACUUAAAAAACCUGGCGGCAGCCUUUCUCACCGGGGGAGCGUGACGCGUAAUCGAUAAUCCGCGUAAUAAUUCACCUUUUCUUUUAGCUAGUGUACGGCCGUUUUCAGUCUAUCUUUAUAAAGUUUAAAAAAAGGCAUAAUUAUAUAUAAUUAAGGCAGGUCAUUGUGCUGCUUAUGAAAAGAGGGUUAGUUUCGCUAUUUUGUAUAGAAUAAAGGAGUUAAUCUUGUAAAAGUUUAAGAAAUUUAGACUCGGGAAUAAUAAAUAAUUAAUAAGUAUUUGUGAAUUUUAAUAAAGAGUUCAGGGUUGUGUACAUACCGCCCGUCAUUCUUUUCUAAUAGAAAAGAAAAGUCGUAACAAGGUAACCUAAACUGAAGUUUAGGUUAUUCCAGU